GUGAAAUGAAAUGACUAUGUCGGGACAUGCGUUACGACAGUCUAGUUUCAAGGCCAUAGACGACGGGAUAAUUACACAUGGCGCAUGGAGUGUUACAAACAAACAUACAGGUAUCCUCUUACAAUUGUAGUUAUCAUAAUGUCUUCUAUUAUGUUGACGAGUUUCUAAAGAAGAUAAACCAGAAGGCCAAUUGCGUUCAUGGCAAUUUUUGACAAGAUCC
Daktulosphaira vitifoliae (grape phylloxera) is the source of this 220-nucleotide long non-coding RNA. RefSeq lists it as uncharacterized. The record is from RefSeq and is a predicted model, not a curated record. NCBI's taxonomy places the organism in Eukaryota, Metazoa, Arthropoda, Insecta, Hemiptera, Phylloxeridae. The transcript has 2 exons.